UACGGGGGGGGCAAGCGUUGUUCGGAAUUACUGGGCGUAAAGGGCGCGUAGGCGGCCCUCUAAGUCAGACGUGAAAUCCCUCGGCUCAACCGAGGAACUGCGUCUGAUACUGGAGGGCUUGAAUCCGGGAGAGGGAUGUGGAAUUCCAGGUGUAGCGGUGAAAUGCGUAGAUAUCUGGAGGAACACCGGUGGCGAAGGCGGCAUCCUGGACCGGUAUUGACGCUGAGGCGCGAAAGCUAGGGUAGCAAACGGG
Molecule: ribosomal RNA, 253 nt
Filed under: uncultured bacterium
Lineage: Bacteria
Description: partial 16S ribosomal RNA
Rfam family: Bacterial small subunit ribosomal RNA
Source: RNAcentral